AUGUUGCGGGUACCUCAACUGAGUUUGAAUCAUAUAGUCAGUACCCAAUUACACAUUGUGAAACAAUACAAACCUGCUGAUGGCACCUCACAACCGAUUAAAGGAGUUGGAUCAGUUCAAUGUACACCCACUAUUAAAUUAUUUGAUGUAUUACAUGUUCCAGCUUUUCCUGUGAACUUGCUUUCUCUAAGUGCUUUGAUUGAUCAGAUAGAUUGCCGAAUAACUCUUGAUAAGAAAAUAUGUUUGAUUCAGGUGAGGAUGACUAGAAGGAAACUUGGGACAGGAACCAGGCGUAGUGGAUUGUGGUAUAUGGAUCGUGAUGUGUCUAGGUCUGGUGCUAGUCCUAUUUUGGGUCUAGUAGUUGGAGUAAGUGAGACAAUGGCGAUGAUCCAUCACUGCCGCAUGGGGCAUAUGGCUUUUGAUAAGAUGAGUAAGAUGUUUCCUGAUGUAAUGCGUGGAGUAGACAAGAUUAAGCUUAUGUGUGAUGCAUGUGAAUAUGCAAAGCACACAAAAAUCAUAUAUUUGAGUAAGGGGCUAAGGAGUAUAUCCCCGUUUAUGCUGAUUCACUCUGAUGUUUGGACAUGUCCUAUUGUUUCUGUUAGUGGAAUGAAAUAUUUUGUGACAUUUAUAGACUGCCACACUCGCAUGACUUGGGUGUACCUCACACGACAUAAAGAUGAAGUAUUCCAAUGUUUUCAGGAGUUUUAUGCCUAUGUGCAAAACCAAUUUAAUGUGCAGGUCCAGGUGAUCAGAUCUGACAAUGGAACUGAAUAUGUAAACAAGCAAUUUGGAGGUUUUCUGUCAGCACAAGGCAUAAUGCACCAAACAUCAUGUCCAGAUGCCCCUGCUCAGAAUGGUGUUGCAGAAAGAAAGAACCGACACAUUUUAUAA
RNAcentral lists this ribosomal RNA (891 nucleotides) under Triticum aestivum (bread wheat). RNAcentral's name for it is "partial small subunit ribosomal RNA". Lineage: Eukaryota; Viridiplantae; Streptophyta; Magnoliopsida; Poales; Poaceae. The record is from RNAcentral.